GCGAGAUCACCCGCCGA
Molecule: ribosomal RNA, 17 nt
Filed under: Cautleya spicata
Lineage: Eukaryota; Viridiplantae; Streptophyta; Magnoliopsida; Zingiberales; Zingiberaceae
Description: partial 26S ribosomal RNA
Source: RNAcentral